Molecule: ribosomal RNA, 458 nt
Filed under: uncultured Methanomicrobiales archaeon
Lineage: Archaea; Methanobacteriati; Methanobacteriota; Methanomicrobia; Methanomicrobiales
Description: bacterial SSU rRNA
Rfam family: Archaeal small subunit ribosomal RNA
Source: RNAcentral
ACAACGGGUGGAGCUUGCGGUUUAAUCGGACUCAACGCCGGGAAACUCACCAGAUAAGACAGCUGAAUGAUAGUCGGGCUGAAGACUCUACUUGACUAGCUGAGAGGAGGUGCAUGGCCAUCGUCAGUUCGUACUGUGAAGCAUCCUGUUAAGUCAGGCAACGAGCGAGACCCACGCCAACAGUUGCCAGCUCGUCCUCCGGGAUGGUGGGGACACUGUUGGGACCGCCUCUGCUAAAGAGGAGGAAGGAAUGGGCAACGGUAGGUCAGCAUGCCCCGAAUUAUCUGGGCUACACGCGGGCUACAAUGGGUGGGACAAUGGGUAUCGACACCGAAAGGUGAAGGCAAUCUCCUAAACCCAUCCGUAGUUCGGAUUGUGGGCUGCAACUCGCCCACAUGAAGCUGGAAUCUGUAGUAAUCGUGUCUCAAAAUGGCACGGUGAAUAUGUCCCUGCUCCUU